Molecule: ribosomal RNA, 636 nt
Filed under: uncultured bacterium
Lineage: Bacteria
Description: bacterial SSU rRNA
Rfam family: Bacterial small subunit ribosomal RNA (bases 1-542)
Source: RNAcentral
CCUACGGGAGGCAGCAGUGGGGAAUUUUGGACAAUGGGCGAAAGCCUGAUCCAGCAAUGCCGCGUGUGGGAAGAAGGCCUUCGGGUUGUAAACCACUUUUGUACGGAACGAAACGGUCUGCUUUAAUACAGUGGGCUAAUGGCGGUACCGUAAGAAUAAGCACCGGCUAACUACGUGCCAGCAGCCGCGGUAAUACGUAGGGUGCGAGCGUUAAUCGGAAUUACUGGGCGUAAAGCGUGCGCAGGCGGUUAUAUAAGACAGUUGUGAAAUCCCCGGGCUCAACCUGGGAAUUGCAUCUGUGACUGUAUAGCUAGAGUACGGUAGAGGGGGACGGAAUUCCGCGUGUAGCAGUGAAAUGCGUAGAUAUGCGGAGGAACACCGAUGGCGAAGGCAAUCCCCUGGACCUGUACUGACGCUCAUGCACGAAAGCGUGGGGAGCAAACAGGAUUAGAUACCCUGGUAGUCCACGCCCUAAACGAUGUCAACUGGUUGUUGGGUGCAUUAGUACUCAGUAACGAAGCUAACGCGUGAAGUUGACCGCCUGGGGGAGGUACGGCCGGCGACGGUAGUAACGUAACGUAAAGAAAGUUAGUAGGCGUUGAGACGNGCCGACGGACGACGACGAGGGAGGAGGAG